UACGUAGGGGGCAAGCGUUGUCCGGAAUUAUUGGGCGUAAAGAGCGCGUAGGCGGUCCGGUAAGUCGGUUGUGAAAGUCGGGGGCUCAACCCUCGGAUGCCGAUCGAUACUGUCGGGCUAGAGUCCGGAAGAGGCGAGUGGAAUUCCUGGUGUAGCGGUGAAAUGCGCAGAUAUCGGGAAGAACACCUAUGGCGAAGGCAGCUCUCUGGGACGGUACUGACGCUGAGACGCGAAAGCGUGGGGAGCAAACAGG
RNAcentral lists this ribosomal RNA (253 nucleotides) under uncultured bacterium. RNAcentral describes it as "partial 16S ribosomal RNA". It matches the Rfam family "Bacterial small subunit ribosomal RNA", at positions 524 to 776 of the family's 1533-position model. The record is from RNAcentral.